GAUGAAGAACGUAGCGAAAUGCGAUAAGUAGUGUGAAUUGCAGAAUUCAGUGAAUCAUCGAAUCUUUGAACGCACAUUGCGCCCUUUGGUAUUCCAAAGGGCAUGCCUGUUCGAGCGUCAUUUGUACCCUCAAGCUUUGCUUGGUGUUGGGCGUCUUGUCUCUAGCUUUGCUGGAGACUCGCCUUAAAGUAAUUGGCAGCCGGCCUACUGGUUUCGGAGCGCAGUACAAGUCGCACUCUCUAUCAGCAAAGGUCUAGCAUCCAUUAAGCCUUUUUUUCAACUUUUGACCUCGGAUCAGGUAGGGAUACCCGCUGAACUUAAGCAUAUCAAUAAGCGGAGGA
RNAcentral lists this unclassified non-coding RNA (341 nucleotides) under soil metagenome. RNAcentral's name for it is "partial contains 5.8S ribosomal RNA, internal transcribed spacer 2, and large subunit ribosomal RNA". The stretch from base 1 to 120 matches the Rfam family "5.8S ribosomal RNA", at positions 35 to 154 of the family's 154-position model. The record is from RNAcentral.